Molecule: long non-coding RNA, 378 nt
Organism: Oreochromis aureus
Lineage: Eukaryota; Metazoa; Chordata; Actinopteri; Cichliformes; Cichlidae
Exons: 3
Source: RefSeq, a predicted model, not a curated record
ACUGAUCCUGGUGCUGGAGAGACCUGUCCCGCUGUGGACCUGCAAAAAUACAAAGCAGAAAAUGGAAGAACUUUACCAGAGGACAAGGCCAAGGUCAUUCUGAAGCAACUAGUUGAUGCUGCAAAGGAACUUGAGGAUAAAAACAUCUUUCAUCGGGACAUCAAGGGAGAAAACAUUCUGAUUGAGACCGGCUCAGAUGUGCCUCGUGUUCGCAUCAUUGACUUUGGACUGAGCUGCUUUGUUAAGCAGCGAUCUCUGUAUCGCGUCUUCUAUGGUACUCCUCUUCACACCCUCCCGAGUGGUACAGGAGGAGCUGCUACAGGUGUGGACCCACCACGGUGUGGCAAAUGGGAGUGGUGCUGUAUGAAGCGGUUCAUG